RNAcentral lists this unclassified non-coding RNA (209 nucleotides) under Hevea brasiliensis (rubber tree). The record is from RNAcentral. Lineage: Eukaryota; Viridiplantae; Streptophyta; Magnoliopsida; Malpighiales; Euphorbiaceae.
CUAAUUUAAGCUAUUUUUUUGGGUCAAAUAUAUAAAAUUUCUUGUACUUUCAGUAGUCAGGGUUGAUGAAUUUUACUACAAACAAAAAUAAUUCUAAAUUUCUCGUCACUUUUUUCCCAUUGAUACAUUCUUUCUGUUUUCUUUUUCAGGAUAAUUACCACUUUUUUCUCCUCUUUGGGCGUGCUCGCUGAACUAGCUUUAUUUGUGAA